GUGGGGAAUAUUGGGCAAUGGGCGAAAGCCUGACCCAGCAACGCCGCGUGGGUGAAGAAAUCCCUCGGGAUGUAAAGCCCUGUUGUAUGGGAAGAGCAGAAGACGGUACCAUACGAGGAAGCCCCGGCAAACUACGUGCCAGCAGCCGCGGUAAUACGUAGGGGGCAAGCGUUGUCCGGAAUUACUGGGCGUAAAGCGCACGCAGGCUGAAUUAUAAGUCGGUAGUAAAAGGCGGGGGCUCAACUUCCGGAUAUCUAUCGAUACUGUAAAUCUAGAGUAUGUGAGAGGGAAGCGGAAUGCCCGGUGUAGCGGUGAAAUGCGUAGAUAUCGGGAGGAACACCAGUGGCGAAGGCGGCUUCCUGGCACAAUACUGACGCUCAUGUGCGAAAGCUAGGGCAGCGAACGGGAUUAGAAACCCGGGUAGUCC
RNAcentral lists this ribosomal RNA (427 nucleotides) under uncultured bacterium. RNAcentral describes it as "partial 16S ribosomal RNA". It matches the Rfam family "Bacterial small subunit ribosomal RNA", at positions 354 to 796 of the family's 1533-position model. The record is from RNAcentral.